This is a long non-coding RNA of Neogale vison (American mink), 141 nucleotides long. RefSeq lists it as uncharacterized. NCBI's taxonomy places the organism in Eukaryota, Metazoa, Chordata, Mammalia, Carnivora, Mustelidae. The record is from RefSeq and is a predicted model, not a curated record. The transcript has 3 exons.
CUUGCUUCUCCGAAAUACUGAGGCUUUUGUGGAAAGGAAGUUUGCUGUUGCUGAUCACUUGCUCCCAUGCACGCAUGCAGCAUUCAUGUUCUAUACUACAUCAAACUCAAGAUUUAUGAAGAAAUGCUUGAAAACAAGUAC